Molecule: ribosomal RNA, 408 nt
Filed under: uncultured bacterium
Lineage: Bacteria
Description: bacterial SSU rRNA
Rfam family: Bacterial small subunit ribosomal RNA
Source: RNAcentral
AGAGUUUGAUCCUGGCUCAGAUUGAACGCUGGCGGCAGGCCUAACACAUGCAAGUCGAGCGGAUGAAGGGAGCUUGCUCCCUGAUUUAGCGGCGGACGGGUGAGUAAUGCCUAGGAAUCUGCCUGGUAGUGGGGGAUAACGUUCCGAAAGGAACGCUAAUACCGCAUACGUCCUACGGGAGAAAGCAGGGGACCCUCGGGCCUUGCGCUAUCAGAUGAGCCUAGGUCGGAUUAGCUAGUUGGUGAGGUAAUGGCUCACCAAGGCGACGAUCCGUAACUGGUCUGAGAGGAUGAUCAGUCACACUGGAACUGAGACACGGUCCAGACUCCUACGGGAGGCAGCAGUGGGGAAUAUUGGACAAUGGGCGAAAGCCUGAUCCAGCCAUGCCGCGUGUGUGAAGAAGGUCUU